This 402-nucleotide ribosomal RNA is filed under the name uncultured bacterium. Its description in RNAcentral is "bacterial SSU rRNA". It matches the Rfam family "Bacterial small subunit ribosomal RNA", at positions 29 to 429 of the family's 1533-position model. The record is from RNAcentral.
AACGAACGCUGGCGGCAGGCCUAACACAUGCAAGUCGAGCGCCCCGCAAGGGGAGCGGCGCACGGGUGAGUAACACGUAGGUAACCUGCCCCCCAGUCUGGAACAACUAGAGGAAACUCUAGCUUAUGCCGGAUGAGACCACGAUCCCUUCGGGGGUUGCGGCCAAAGAUGGCCUCUACUUGUAAGCUAUCGCUGAGGGAUGGGCCUGCGGGCCAUUAGCUUGUUGGUGAGGUAACGGCUCACCAAGGCUGUGAUGGCUAGCUGGUCUGAGAGGAUGACCAGCCACACUGGGACUGAGACACGGCCCAGACUCCUACGGGAGGCAGCAGUGGGGAAUAUUGCGCAAUGGGCGAAAGCCUGACGCAGCGACGCCGCGUGGGUGAUGAAGGCCUCGGUCGGUAA